AUACGUAGGUGACAAGCGUUAUCCGGAUUUACUGGGCGUAAAGGGCGUGUAGGCGGUCUUGCAAGUCAGAAGUGAAAUUCCUGAGCUCAACUCGGGCGCUGCUUCUGAAACUGCAGGACUUGAGUGCUGGAGGGGAUAGCGGAAUUCCUAGUGGAGCGGUAAAAUGCGCAGAUAUUAGGAAGAACACCGGGGGCGAAGGCGGCUAUCUGGACAGUAACUGACGCUGAGGCGCGAAAGCGUGGGGUGCAAACAGGAUGAGAUACCCUUGUAGUCCACGCCGUAAACGAUGAAUACUAGGUGUAGGGGGUAUCGACUCCCUCUGUGCCGCAGUUAACACAAUAAGUAUUCCGCCUGGGGAGUACGGCCGCAAGGUUGAAACUCAAAGGAAUUGACGGGG
Molecule: ribosomal RNA, 397 nt
Filed under: uncultured bacterium
Lineage: Bacteria
Description: partial 16S ribosomal RNA
Rfam family: Bacterial small subunit ribosomal RNA
Source: RNAcentral